CAAGUACGCUGGAUGGUCGCGGGCAUAAGGCGAAAGCCUGUGCGUGAGGAAAGUCCGGGCUCCACAGGGCAAGGAUAACGGGUAACACCCGCCAGGGGCGACCCUCGGACAAGUGCAACAGAAAUAUACCGCCUUACAGGUGCCCGCACUUGUAAGGUAAGGAUGGAAAGGCGAGGUAAGAGCUCACCCACCGCAUGGAGACAUGUGCGUGCUGUAAACUCUAUCCGGAGCAACACCGUGGGAGAACAAUAGGCUGACCCGGCCGUUCUCAGGAGGUGGCUUGAGCGUAUCGGCAACGGUACGCCUAGAUUGAUGACCAUAUUGAACAGAACUCGGCUUACGGGCGGACUUGCAGC
RNAcentral lists this RNase P RNA (356 nucleotides) under Oscillospiraceae bacterium. RNAcentral describes it as "RNase P RNA component class A". It matches the Rfam family "Bacterial RNase P class A". From Rfam's summary of the family: Ribonuclease P (RNase P) is a ubiquitous endoribonuclease, found in archaea, bacteria and eukarya as well as chloroplasts and mitochondria. Its best characterised activity is the generation of mature 5'-ends of tRNAs by cleaving the 5'-leader elements of precursor-tRNAs. Lineage: Bacteria; Bacillati; Bacillota; Clostridia; Eubacteriales; Oscillospiraceae. The record is from RNAcentral.